RNAcentral lists this ribosomal RNA (253 nucleotides) under uncultured bacterium. RNAcentral describes it as "partial 16S ribosomal RNA". It matches the Rfam family "Bacterial small subunit ribosomal RNA", at positions 524 to 776 of the family's 1533-position model. The record is from RNAcentral.
UACAGAGGGGGCAAGCGUUAUUCGGAAUUAUUGGGCGUAAAGGGCGCGUAGGCGGCAAUUCAAGUCAGCUGUGAAAUCUCCGGGCUUAACUCGGAACGGUCAGCUGAUACUGCUUUGCUAGAGUGCAGAAGGGGCAAUCGGAAUUCUUGGUGUAGCGGUGAAAUGCGUAGAUAUCAAGAGGAACACCUGAGGUGAAGACGGGUUGCUGGGCUGACACUGACGCUGAGGCGCGAAAGCUAGGGUAGCAAACGGG